UAGGGAAUCUUCGGCAAUGGGGGCAACCCUGACCGAGCAACGCCGCGUGAGUGAAGAAGGUUUUCGGAUCGUAAAGCUCUGUUGUAAGUCAAGAACGGGUGUGAGAGUGGAAAGUUCACACUGUGACGGUAGCUUACCAGAAAGGGACGGCUAACUACGUGCCAGCAGUCGCGGUAAUACGUAGGUCCCGAGCGUUGUCCGGAUUUAUUGGGCGUAAAGCGAGCGCAGGCGGUUUGAUAAGUCUGAAGUUAAAGGCUGUGGCUCAACCAUAGUUCGCUUUGGAAACUGUCAAACUUGAGUGCAGAAGGGGAGAGUGGAAUUCCAUGUGUAGUGGUGAAAUGCGUAGAUAUAUGGAGGAACACCGGUGGCGAAAGCGGCUCUCUGGUCUGUAACUGACGCUGAGGCUCGAAAGCGUGGGGAGCGAACAGGAUUAGAUACCCUGGUAGUCCACGCCGUAAACGAUGAGUGCUAGGUGUUGGAUCCUUUCCGGGAUUCAGUGCCGCAGCUAACGCAUUAAGCACUCCGCCUGGGGAGUACGACCGCAAGGUUGAAACUCUAAGUGAAUUGAC
This 569-nucleotide ribosomal RNA is filed under the name uncultured bacterium. Its description in RNAcentral is "partial 16S ribosomal RNA". It matches the Rfam family "Bacterial small subunit ribosomal RNA", at positions 355 to 914 of the family's 1533-position model. The record is from RNAcentral.